Molecule: ribosomal RNA, 329 nt
Filed under: uncultured eukaryote
Lineage: Eukaryota
Description: partial 18S ribosomal RNA
Rfam family: Eukaryotic small subunit ribosomal RNA
Source: RNAcentral
CCCUUAGAUGUCCUGGGCCGCACGCGCGCUACACUGAGUGUCUGAGAUACGAGUCUGCCUGGUCCGGCAAGGUCUAGGUAAUCGCUAAAAGACACAUCAUGCUUGGGAUAGAUUAUUGCAAAUAUUAAUCUUGAACGAGGAAUUCCUAGUAAGCGCGAGUCAACAGCUUGCGUUGAUUACGUCCCUGCCCUUUGUACACACCGCCCGUCGCUACUACUGAUUGGAUGUUUAAGCGAGGUUCUCGAACUGCUAGCGACUUAGCUUCGGUGAGGUCGCAGUGUGGGAAGUGAACCUAGCUUUGGUGUCUAGAGGAAGUAAAAGUCGUAACA